This 1398-nucleotide ribosomal RNA is filed under the name metagenome. Its description in RNAcentral is "bacterial LSU rRNA". It matches the Rfam family "Bacterial large subunit ribosomal RNA", at positions 1536 to 2910 of the family's 2925-position model. The record is from RNAcentral.
AAAAAUCCGGAAAAUCAAGGCUGAGGCGUGAUGACGAGGCACUACGGUGCUGAAGCAACAAAUGCCCUGCUUCCAGGAAAAGCCUCUAAGCAUCAGGUAACAUCAAAUCGUACCCCAAACCGACACAGGUGGUCAGGUAGAGAAUACCAAGGCGCUUGAGAGAACUCGGGUGAAGGAACUAGGCAAAAUGGUGCCGUAACUUCGGGAGAAGGCACGCUGAUAUGUAGGUGAGGUCCCUCGCGGAUGGAGCUGAAAUCAGUCGAAGAUACCAGCUGGCUGCAACUGUCUAUUAAAAACACAGCACUGUGCAAACACGAAAGUGGACGUAUACGGUGUGACGCCUGCCCGGUGCCGGAAGGUUAAUUGAUGGGGUUAGCGCAAGCGAAGCUCUUGAUCGAAGCCCCGGUAAACGGCGGCCGUAACGAUAACGGUCCUAAGGUAGCGAAAUUCCUUGUCGGGUAAGUUCCGACCUGCACGAAUGGCGUAAUGAUGGCCAGGCUGUCUCCACCCGAGACUCAGUGAAAUUGAACUCGCUGUGAAGAUGCAGUGUACCCGCGGCAAGACGGAAAGACCCCGUGAACCUUUACUAUAGCUUGACACUGAACAUUGAGCCUUGAUGUGUAGGAUAGGUGGGAGGCUUUGAAGUGUGGACGCCAGUCUGCAUGGAGCCGACCUUGAAAUACCACCCUUUAAUGUUUGAUGUUCUAACGUUGACCCGUAAUCCGGGUUGCGGACAGUGUCUGGUGGGUAGUUUGACUGGGGCGGCCUCCUCCUAAAGAGUAACGGAGGAGCACGAAGGUUGGCUAAUCCUGGUCGGACAUCAGGAGGUUAGUGCAAUGGCAUAAGCCAGCUUGACUGCGAGCGUGACGGCGCGAGCAGGUGCGAAAGCAGGUCAUAGUGAUCCGGUGGUUCUGAAUGGAAGGGCCAUCGCUCAACGGAUAAAAGGUACUCCGGGGAUAACAGGCUGAUACCGCCCAAGAGUUCAUAUCGACGGCGGUGUUUGGCACCUCGAUGUCGGCUCAUCACAUCCUGGGGCUGAAGUAGGUCCCAAGGGUAUGGCUGUUCGCCAUUUAAAGUGGUACGCGAGCUGGGUUUAGAACGUCGUGAGACAGUUCGGUCCCUAUCUGCCGUGGGCGCUGGAGAACUGAGGGGGGCUGCUCCUAGUACGAGAGGACCGGAGUGGACGCAUCACUGGUGUUCGGGUUGUCAUGCCAAUGGCACUGCCCGGUAGCUAAAUGCGGAAGAGGUAAGUGCUGAAAGCAUCUAAGCACGAAACUUGCCCCGAGAUGAGUUCUCCCUGACUCCUUGAGAGUCCUGAAGGAACGUUGAAGACGACGACGUUGAUAGGCCGGGUGUGUAAGCGCAGCGAUGCGUUGAGCUAACCGGUACUAAUGAACC